This 321-nucleotide ribosomal RNA is filed under the name uncultured Alteromonas sp. Its description in RNAcentral is "bacterial SSU rRNA". It matches the Rfam family "Bacterial small subunit ribosomal RNA", at positions 158 to 482 of the family's 1533-position model. Lineage: Bacteria; Pseudomonadati; Pseudomonadota; Gammaproteobacteria; Alteromonadales; Alteromonadaceae. The record is from RNAcentral.
GACUGCUAAUACCGCAUGAUAGCUACAGCUCAAGGGGGCUUCGGCUCUCGCCUUUAAAGAACCCAACUGUUCAUUAGAUAGUUGGUGGGGAAAUGGCCUACCAAGUCAACGAUCCCUAGCUGGUCUGAAAGGAUGAUCAGCCCCACGGGAACUGAGACACGGUCCAGACUCCUACGGAAGGCACCAGUGGGGAAUACUUCACAAUGGGCACAAGCCUGAUGCACCCAUGCCGCGUGUGUGAAAAAGGCCUUCGGGUUGUAAGCACUUUCUGCGAGGAGGAAGGGUUGUUGGUUAAUACCCACCUGCUUUGACGUUUCUCUC